Molecule: long non-coding RNA, 239 nt
Filed under: Gossypium barbadense (sea-island cotton)
Lineage: Eukaryota; Viridiplantae; Streptophyta; Magnoliopsida; Malvales; Malvaceae
Description: long non-coding RNA (GBAR_LNC010878)
Source: RNAcentral
UAAAUUUUAUUUUUAUUUUAUUUUAUGGUUCGUAAUAUGAUAGAAAUGUCAUGUGAAAAUUUUGAUAAGAAAAUUUUACUGAUUAUGUGUUUAAUUAUUAGAAGGACCAAAUCGUAUAAAAAGCAAAAAUUAAAUUCUAGUAGCUAGAAGGAUCAAAUAGCUAUGGAAUUCAAAACUUAAGGUCAUUAUAUGGUAAUUAGACCAUUAAUAAAAAGUUAGUAGAUAUUUUUGGAUGAUUC